Bombus impatiens (common eastern bumble bee) is the source of this 279-nucleotide long non-coding RNA. RefSeq lists it as uncharacterized. The record is from RefSeq and is a predicted model, not a curated record. The transcript has 2 exons. NCBI's taxonomy places the organism in Eukaryota, Metazoa, Arthropoda, Insecta, Hymenoptera, Apidae.
AAUUAAACGAGAUAUCUUGCGCGUGCUUUCGACGAAGAAUUACGUCGUACAUUCGAUAAUCGUGUUUGCCUGUCUCUUGUGCCGUAAACACUUGAUCAGCUGACGCAAUAAAUUGAUAAUCGUGAUCUUUGUUGGGCGAAAUAUAUACAAAUAAUAAAAUAUCGAUGGAUUUGCAAGUUUGAAGUAAACGACUAAACAUGUGCACGUAUAUAAAACUGUCGAAUGGAAAAUGUGAGAUACAGGUGUAUUUGGAUUUCAUUAAAAUUAUAAUAAUAUAUC